RNAcentral lists this ribosomal RNA (211 nucleotides) under uncultured bacterium. RNAcentral's name for it is "partial 16S ribosomal RNA". It matches the Rfam family "Bacterial small subunit ribosomal RNA", at positions 524 to 734 of the family's 1533-position model. The record is from RNAcentral.
UACGUAGGGGGCAAGCGUUGUCCGGAUUUAUUGGGCGUAAAGAGCGUGUAGGCGGCCAUACAGGUCAGCUGUGAAAACUCGAGGCUCAACCUCGAGACGUCGGUUGAAACCGUAUGGCUAGAGUCCGGAAGAGGAGAGUGGAAUUCCCGGUGUAGUGGUGAAAUGCGUAGAGAUCGGGAGGAACACCCGUGGCGAAGGCGGCUCACUGGGC